Molecule: unclassified non-coding RNA, 334 nt
Filed under: soil metagenome
Description: partial contains 5.8S ribosomal RNA, internal transcribed spacer 2, and large subunit ribosomal RNA
Rfam family: 5.8S ribosomal RNA (bases 1-120)
Source: RNAcentral
GAUGAAGAACGCAGCGAAAUGCGACAAGUAAUGUGAAUUGCAGAAUUCAGUGAAUCAUCGAAUCUUUGAACGCACAUUGCGCCCGCCAGUAUUCUGGCGAGCAUGCCUGUUCGAGCGUCAUUUCAACCAUCAAGCCCCAGGCUUGUGUUGGAGCCCUGCGGCUGCCGCAGCCUCCCAAAACCAGUGGCGGGCUCGCUAUCACACCGAGUGCAGUAGUUUACUCUUCGCUCAGGGCGUGUGGCGGGUGCUAGCCGUGAAACCCCCAACUUCUCAAGGUUGACCUCGGAUCAGGUAGGAAUACCCGCUGAACUUAAGCAUAUCAAUAAGCGGAGGA